CCGAGUUUUGUCUUCUUUAAGCAAAGUGAAAUGGUGGCAAACACCUUUGAUUUAAAGGUAGGGUAUUCCGUGAUUUAAGCAUUAGUGGAUCAAUCAAGACCGGUGCUUUAUUUGCUUACGUGUUUAUGCAUAAUUGAAAAUCAUUCAACAAAGAAAGCAGAAGAAAUCUCACUCUCUCUCUCUCACGGCCGAACCCAGCAAAAACAGAGCACGGAUUCUUCGAUCUCUCUCUCCCUCCUCAGGCCACCUCAAGACGUCGAACCACCUCCAUUAGCCUCGCCUAGACCUUGCACUGCUGCAGUGGCAUCCUUGCACCGCGGCACAACCGGAAAACGGCGGCGGAAACACGGUUUCGUUUUAAAACCCGAUUGGGUCCAAUUGUGAUAACUCGAGCUACAGGCCAUCAAUCCUCACCAAACUUCAUCCUCGAGCUCGCCUCAACUUCCUGAAGCUCCCAGAAGCAGCCUCACACGGCGGCGUGGCCCGUAGCAGUGGCUACAAGUCAAACCCAACCAAGAACGAAACCGGAGCUAUCGAUCCAAAUAUCUUGAGCUACAGGAUGUCGUUUUGAGUGAUUCUUGAACCAGUGAGCUCGCCUUGAAGUUCUGAACAACUCUCCAGAAGGAAUCGAAGCGUUUCGUUGAAGUUUUUACGUCGGAAUUCAAGCUCGCCGGAUUCUGGAAAUUUUCCGGCCACCGACGCUUUCGAUCAAGAUAUCUUGAGCUGUAGAGCUUCGUUUUGAGUGAUUCUUGAACCAGUGAGUUCGUCUUUAAGUUCUGAACAAGUCUCCUGAAGGAAUCGAAGCGAAAGGAGGACAUUUUUACGUUGAUCGGAGCUUCGCCGGCUUCUGCAAAUUCUCGCCGGUUUUUGGAAAAAUUCCGGCCACCUCGACUGUUUUAGGUGAUUGACGGUCUUCCUUGGGUGAGCGAUUUCGGUGUGUAUUGUGUUGAAUUGAAGACGCAGCGGGAAUAUCGAGCGGGUAAUCCUACAGGUCAGGCGAAUCGGGAAGGUGAUCGAGCUGCUUAGAGAAAUUGCAUUGGGUAAAUCUGGAUUUAUAUUGUGAGGUUUAUUAUGCUCUUUUGAGUAUUGUAAAUUAAGUUGUGAGAGUGUGAUGUAAUAAGUAAAUUGAAGAUUGGUUUUUGUAAUAUUGAGAGGUGUGAAGUGUGGUUGUUUGUGAGAAAAAAAUUCAGGACGUUAUUUGUAUUGAUGUUAAUCAUGUUUCGGAUUUGAA
Long non-coding RNA from Rosa rugosa (rugosa rose), 1231 nucleotides. RefSeq lists it as uncharacterized. The record is from RefSeq and is a predicted model, not a curated record. The transcript is spliced from 3 exons. Lineage: Eukaryota; Viridiplantae; Streptophyta; Magnoliopsida; Rosales; Rosaceae.